This is a long non-coding RNA of Lathyrus oleraceus (garden pea), 456 nucleotides long. RefSeq lists it as uncharacterized. The transcript is spliced from 5 exons. Lineage: Eukaryota; Viridiplantae; Streptophyta; Magnoliopsida; Fabales; Fabaceae. The record is from RefSeq and is a predicted model, not a curated record.
UAGAAAUUAUGUUAUAGACCACUUCUUCGCUAGGGUUCAGUAGAAACAGCAACGUUAGGGUUCAUCACUUCUCUCAGUCUCAAAUCUCAAUUCAUUAGUUCCACUUCUUCGUGAGAUUCAUACGCACAAACAGCAACGUUACUCCGCUAGGGUUCAUCAUUCUCUCAGUUCGUGGUUUCAUUGUUUAACGAAGAACCGUCGCCGUCCAUUAUUCAACCACAAAUCACCACCGAUAUUGAUUUUGUGAAGGUGUUGUCGGUAAAUAUUGUUCCUACUCAGCUCGCCGACAACUUCCGGAAUAAGAAGCCUGAGGAAAAUUAUUGGUGCGCGUUGGUAUAUUAAAGGAUAUGAAGUAGAAUUCGAUGGAGCGCGACAAAAGUAGCUUGCAAGGAGUUGGAGUUCCUAGCUUGCAAGGAGUUGGAGUUCCUAGCGGAGUUGUAGAUCAAGGAGUGAGUC